This 259-nucleotide ribosomal RNA is filed under the name uncultured bacterium. RNAcentral describes it as "partial 16S ribosomal RNA". It matches the Rfam family "Bacterial small subunit ribosomal RNA", at positions 78 to 334 of the family's 1533-position model. The record is from RNAcentral.
UACAAAACUAAAAGAGUGGCGACCGGCGCACGGGUGAGUAACACGUACCCAACCUGCCGAUAACGUCGGGAUAGCCUUCGAAAGAAAGAUUAAUAUCCGAUAGUAUAUUAAAACCGCAUGGUUUUACUAUUAAAGAAUUUCGGUUAUCGAUGGGGAUGCGUUCCAUUAGUUUGUUGGCGGGGUAACGGCCCACCAAGACUACGAUGGAUAGGGGUUCUGAGAGGAAGGUCCCCCACAUUGGAACUGAGACACGGUCCAA